GCGCUGUCAGUUUCAAAAAUAGAGCUGUUGGAGCGUCUAAUAACGGCUAUAAACGGCCAUAAACGGCUAGUUUUUCCAUUUCUCUUAUAAAUAGCCCCCCAUAAUCGAUUAUUAGACACUCCUUUGCACCCAAAUACUGUUGAAAUCAAAUCUAGAGCUCAAAAUCCCUCCAUUUCUCUUCACCUUCUUAAAGUUUCAUUUUCUCAAUCUUCCUCCAUGGCUGAACCAAGAAGGCAUCGUUGCAGAACAACUGGAGCUU
This 259-nucleotide long non-coding RNA is filed under the name Vigna radiata. Its description in RNAcentral is "long non-coding RNA (VRAD_LNC000681)". Lineage: Eukaryota; Viridiplantae; Streptophyta; Magnoliopsida; Fabales; Fabaceae. The record is from RNAcentral.